UAGAUGAAUGCUCUCUGGUUUGGGCGCUUAGCUGUUAACUAAGAUUUUGUGGGAUCGAGGCCCACUCAUCUAU
This 73-nucleotide transfer RNA is filed under the name Ariosoma shiroanago (shiro-anago). RNAcentral's name for it is "tRNA-Asn". The record is from RNAcentral. Lineage: Eukaryota; Metazoa; Chordata; Actinopteri; Anguilliformes; Congridae.